GAUGAACGCUGGCGGCGUGCUUAACACAUGCAAGUCGAACGGAAAGGCCCAAGCUUGCUUGGGUACUCGAGUGGCGAACGGGUGAGUAACACGUGGGUGAUCUGCCCUGCACUUCGGGAUAAGCCUGGGAAACUGGGUCUAAUACCGGAUAGGACCACAUUUUGGAUGGUGUGGUGGAAAGUUUUUCGGUGUGGGAUGAGCUCGCGGCCUAUCAGCUUGUUGGUGGGGUAAUGGCCUACCAAGGCGUCGACGGGUAGCCGGCCUGAGAGGGUGUACGGCCACAAUUGGAAUGAGAUACGGCCCAGACUCCUACGGGAGGGAGGAGUGGGGAAUAAUGCAAAAUGGGGGCAAGCCUGAUGCAGCGAAGGCGGGGGGGGGAUGAAGGACUUCGGGUUGUAAACUCCGUUCGGUAGGGACGAAGCGUUAUGGGAAGGUAACUGGAGAAGAAGCAACGGCUAACUACGUG
RNAcentral lists this ribosomal RNA (466 nucleotides) under uncultured bacterium. Its description in RNAcentral is "partial 16S ribosomal RNA". It matches the Rfam family "Bacterial small subunit ribosomal RNA", at positions 28 to 507 of the family's 1533-position model. The record is from RNAcentral.